Molecule: ribosomal RNA, 253 nt
Filed under: uncultured prokaryote
Description: partial 16S ribosomal RNA
Rfam family: Bacterial small subunit ribosomal RNA
Source: RNAcentral
UACGUAGGGGGCAAGCGUUGUCCGGAGUUACUGGGCGUAAAGCGCCCGCAGGCGGUGUGCUAAGUUCAGACUGACAAUGCCUCGCCUAACGAGGCAGGGUGUAUGAAAACUGGCAGACUUGAGGGAUAGAGAGGGACAUGGAAUUCCGGGUGGAGUGGUGAAAUGCGUAGAUAUCCGGAGGAACACCAAAGGCGAAGGCAAUGUCCUGGCUAUUUCCUGACGCUGAGGGGCGAAAGCUAGGGGAGCGAACGGG